GGGUCCAUGCAGUACUGGGAGUUUAAACUGAAUCCCUUGUAUAAAGACUGGACACCCCUGACCACCUGACUAUAUAGUUGGGGGUCCCAUUGUGGAAAAGGCAGGGGAGGUCCAAGUUUCCAAAUAUAAUUGAGUCCUUCUUUCCUUCAGGUCCUACUUUUCCCCCUGGACAUAACGUGUAUGGGUGUAUGCUUUCCAAAGAAUCGAGACUGACAAAAUUUACAUUUUAGCUUUGUAACUGAAGCCUGUAUUUGCAAGCAUUAGGAAAAUUUGUCUCUGUGUGGGCCAGAGCCUCAGCUAUUUCUGUUACUCCAACCCUGCUAAAUAUCUUUUGUUCUCAACACAUUUGGUAGAAUUCAUGUCUCAUGCUGCUGCUGAAAACCCAAUGGGGGAAAAGAACCUCUGAAUUAAGCUUAUUAGUUUUUAACUGCUGCAGAACCACCACCACAAAGUGGCUUAAAAUGCAAAUUUAUUAUCCUUUAGUUCUGGAAGUCAGAAAAUCCAAAAUGGUGAUGCUGAACUUUUAUCUUUUGCUUAUCCCUAAAACUCUUUUAUCUUUCCUUCAAAUUUCCUUCUUAGUUGUAGUUUUUGGUUGUGCUAGGUCGUCACUGCUGCCUGUGGGACUUCUCUGGUUGUACUGAGUGGGGGCUACUCUUCAUUGUGGGGCGCAGGUUUCUUACUGCAGUGUGCUGACUUAGCUGCUUACAGCACGUGGAACCUUCCUGGACCAGAGACUGAACCUGUGUCCCUUGCGUUGGCAGGCGGGUUCUUACCACUGGACAACCAGAAGUCCCUCUCCUUCAAAUUUAAAUGAUCCCUCGCUGGGUAUUCCUGAUUGUAGGAUUUUUCAUCAGCCAGCAGUGAAAGGACGGAAUCCUAACCACUGUUGACUUGUGGGUCCCACGGCCUGUGGGAUCCUAGUUCCCUGACCAAGGAUAAAACCCACGUCCCCUGCAUUGGAAGAUGGAUUUUCAAUUACUGGACCCCCAGGAAAGUCCCUGUACUGUUUUACAAUAAAAGCAGCUACUAUUUCACAAGUGAUUGUGCCAAACGCUCUGAAAACAGCAUUUACUACCUACAGUAUUAGAAGACACUUUUAUAGCUGAGGACACAGCUUGCUUUCUAUUGCAUAUUCCUCUCAUGUAUGUAAAAGUUACCUCUAGCUCCUUUUGGCCCUUGGCCAGAACCACCACUGUCCUACUUUCACAGCUAUUAAGUACAAACUGAUGUAGUUCAAGCUCUCUUCAGCAACGUUCUCAGACUCCAAAAUGAUUCAACUUCCUCUUAAAAACCAAACACCCCUUCUUUUCUCCUGACCUUUAAGGCUACCCCCCACACAAAGCACCACCUUAGUGAAAUGCCAAUGAACAGAACUUAGAAAAUCGACAAAUGUUAACAGUGGGUGACAGUUUGAAAGGAACUGGAUAUUUAAUAGGCUCUAGUUACCUCCCACAAAUUACUGAUCAUAAAGGGAAAAAGUGACUUUAUAUAAGUGACUCGGGUUAUUAUUACAAGGUACCACUAGAUAUACCGAAGACAAUCUCAUUCUUGUGAUAUUUCUGCCAAAA
Molecule: long non-coding RNA, 1568 nt
Organism: Bos taurus (domestic cattle)
Lineage: Eukaryota; Metazoa; Chordata; Mammalia; Artiodactyla; Bovidae
Source: Ensembl